CGCGGGGUAGAGCAGUUGGCAGCUCGUCAGGCUCAUAACCUGAAGGUCGUGGGUUCGAAUCCCACCCCCGCAA
Molecule: transfer RNA, 73 nt
Filed under: Candidatus Yanofskybacteria bacterium RIFCSPHIGHO2_01_FULL_42_12
Lineage: Bacteria; Candidatus Yanofskyibacteriota
Also listed under: 1 other name
Description: tRNA-Met
Rfam family: tRNA
About the family: Transfer RNA (tRNA) molecules are approximately 80 nucleotides in length.
Source: RNAcentral